RNAcentral lists this ribosomal RNA (253 nucleotides) under uncultured bacterium. RNAcentral's name for it is "partial 16S ribosomal RNA". It matches the Rfam family "Bacterial small subunit ribosomal RNA", at positions 524 to 776 of the family's 1533-position model. The record is from RNAcentral.
UACGAAGGGGGCUAGCGUUGUUCGGAAUUACUGGGCGUAAAGGGCGCGUAGGCGGUGUGUCAAGUCAGGCGUGAAAGCCCCGGGCUCAAGCUGGGAACCGCGCUUGAGACUGGCACGCUAGAGUUCGGGAGAGGAUGGUGGAAUUCCCAGUGUAGAGGUGAAAUUCGUAGAUAUUGGGAAGAACACCGAUGGCGAAGGCAGCCAUCUGGACCGACACUGACGCUGAGGCGCGAAAGCGUGGGGAGCAAACAGG